GACGAACGCUGGCGGCGUGCUUAACACAUGCAAGUCGAACGGAAAGGCCCUGCUUUUGUGGGGUGCUCGAGUGGCGAACGGGUGAGUAACACGUGAGUAACCUGCCCUUGACUUUGGGAUAACUUCAGGAAACUGGGGCUAAUACCGGAUAGGAGCUCCUGCUGCAUGGUGGGGGUUGGAAAGUUUCGGCGGUUGGGGAUGGACUCGCGGCUUAUCAGCUUGUUGGUGGGGUAGUGGCUUACCAAGGCUUUGAAGGGUAGCCGGCCUGAGAGGGUGACCGGCGACAUUGGGACUGAGAUACGGCCCAGACUCCUACGGGAGGCAGCAGGGGGGAAUAUUGCACAAGGGGCGGAAGCCUGAUGCAGCAACGCCGCGUGCGGGAUGACGGCCUUCGGGUUGUAAACCGCUGUCGCCGGUGACGAAGCGUGAGUGACGGUAAUGGGUAAAGAAGCACCGGCUAACUACGUG
Molecule: ribosomal RNA, 468 nt
Filed under: uncultured bacterium
Lineage: Bacteria
Description: partial 16S ribosomal RNA
Rfam family: Bacterial small subunit ribosomal RNA
Source: RNAcentral